GUGCCAGCAGCCGCGGUAAUACGAAGGGGGCUAGCGUUGCUCGGAAUGACUGGGCGUAAAGGGCGCGUAGGCGGAGUGCUUUGUCGGGCGUGAAAUUCCAGGGCUCAACCUUGGGGCUGCGUUCGAGACGGGCAUUCUUGAGUGGGGAAGAGGGUCGUGGAAUUCCCAGUGUAGAGGUGAAAUUCGUAGAUAUUGGGAAGAACACCGGUGGCGAAGGCGGCGACCUGGUCCUUUACUGACGCUGAGGCGCGAAAGCGUGGGGAGCAAACAGGAUUAGAUACCCGCGUAGUCC
This 292-nucleotide ribosomal RNA is filed under the name uncultured bacterium. RNAcentral's name for it is "partial 16S ribosomal RNA". It matches the Rfam family "Bacterial small subunit ribosomal RNA", at positions 505 to 796 of the family's 1533-position model. The record is from RNAcentral.